AAGUUUUAACGAGAAGCUGUCGCCGGAUCCGCCAGGUGUUAAAGUAGCCGACACCUGUACAGGAUAUACGUACACCCCGACCAAUGACUUGGCACCUGAAGUUAGGAAAUCGAUAGAAUUAGACCAAUCCGACCAAGAUGCAGUCAAUGAAAGCCGAUGAACUGCCGGAGAAUCCGCGCGAGACGUCGAACAUCUUCUCAUCCCUGAUGUU
RNAcentral lists this small RNA (211 nucleotides) under Drosophila yakuba. RNAcentral describes it as "GE28303". The record is from RNAcentral. Lineage: Eukaryota; Metazoa; Arthropoda; Insecta; Diptera; Drosophilidae.